RNAcentral lists this ribosomal RNA (1437 nucleotides) under uncultured organism. RNAcentral's name for it is "SSU rRNA". It matches the Rfam family "Bacterial small subunit ribosomal RNA". The record is from RNAcentral.
CUACAGGCUUAACACAUGCAAGUCGAGGGGCAGCAUGGUCUUAUCUUGCUAAGGCCGAUGGCGACCGGCGCACGGGUGAGUAACGCGUAUCCAACCUGCCUUACACUCUUGGACAGCCUUCUGAAAGGGAGAUUAAUACAAGAUGUUAUCAUGAGUAAGCAUUUUCACAUGAUUAAAGGUUUACCGGUGUAAGAUGGGGAUGCGUUCCAUUAGAUAGUAGGCGGGGUAACGGCCCACCUAGUCUUCGAUGGAUAGGGGUUCUGAGAGGAAGGUCCCCCACAUUGGAACUGAGACACGGUCCAAACUCCUACGGGAGGCAGCAGUGAGGAAUAUUGGUCAAUGGACGAGAGUCUGAACCAGCCAAGUAGCGUGAAGGAUGAAGGUUCUAUGGAUUGUAAACUUCUUUUAUACGGGAAUAAACGAAUCCACGUGUGGAUUUUUGCAUGUACCGUAUGAAUAAGGAUCGGCUAACUCCGUGCCAGCAGCCGCGGUAAUACGGAGGAUCCGAGCGUUAUCCGGAUUUAUUGGGUUUAAAGGGAGCGUAGAUGGGUUGUUAAGUCAGUUGUGAAAGUUUGCGGCUCAACCGUAAAAUUGCAAUUGAUACUGGCAGUCUUGAGUACAGUUGAGGUAGGCGGAAUUCGUGGUGUAGCGGUGAAAUGCUUAGAUAUCACGAAGAACUCCGAUUGCGAAGGCAGCUUACUAACCUGUAACUGACAUUGAUGCUCGAAAGUGUGGGUAUCAAACAGGAUUAGAUACCCUGGUAGUCCACACGGUAAACGAUGAAUACUCGCUGUAGGCGAUAUACAGUCUGCGGCCAAGCGAAAGCAUUAAGUAUUCCACCUGGGGAGUACGCCGGCAACGGUGAAACUCAAAGGAAUUGACGGGGGCCCGCACAAGCGGAGGAACAUGUGGUUUAAUUCGAUGAUACGCGAGGAACCUUACCCGGGCUUAAAUUGCAACCGAAUAUGGCGGAAACGCUAUAGCUAGCAAUAGCGGUUGUGAAGGUGCUGCAUGGUUGUCGUCAGCUCGUGCCGUGAGGUGUCGGCUUAAGUGCCAUAACGAGCGCAACCCUUGCCGAUAGUUACUAACAGGUUAUGCUGAGGACUCUGUCGGGACUGCCAUCGUAAGAUGUGAGGAAGGUGGGGAUGACGUCAAAUCAGCACGGCCCUUACGUCCGGGGCUACACACGUGUUACAAUGGGGGGUACAGAGGGCUGCUACCACGCAAGUGGAUGCCAAUCCCAAAAACCUCUCUCAGUUCGGAUUGAAGUCUGCAACCCGACUUCAUGAAGCUGGAUUCGCUAGUAAUCGCGCAUCAGCCACGGCGCGGUGAAUACGUUCCCGGGCCUUGUACACACCGCCCGUCAAGCCAUGGGAGCCGGGGGUACCUGAAGUGCGUAACCGCAAGGAGCGCCCUAGGGUAAAACUGGUGACUGGG